Non-coding RNA from Rattus norvegicus (Norway rat), 667 nucleotides. The record is from RefSeq and is a predicted model, not a curated record. NCBI's taxonomy places the organism in Eukaryota, Metazoa, Chordata, Mammalia, Rodentia, Muridae.
AAAAGUAUUAGGCUACCCUCUCCUGACAGUUUUGAAAGUUCAAAAACCUAAAAUGCUCAUGUCACAAAAGUCAUGUUUACCUCAUUAAAGGCGUUAGCCCGGCAAAUAAGAGCACCGUGCUGUGUCACCCGUGACUGCGUCCUACUGAGCACGUGUAGGAUGAUGUCAUUGUGCAGCAAGGCAGGCCUAGGAUAAGCGAAGCCUAUCAUUGGAUGAGAAGGAAGGGUAGGCGGGGGAAAAGUCUGGGGGCGGGGAGAAGGGGGGAGCAGGAGAAGCAGGCGAUCAAGAUGGCGUCUACAGAGGAGGAUGGUUCAGAUUUAGGUGAACUAGAUCGAUUUUAUCUUAUCCAGAUCUAACAGAAAAUUGCUCACAGUGAUAACACAGCACCGAAACCACGUUGGUUACAGCAUAAGGUUAAAUGAAGCCAACGGCAGCCUUGUCGCCAGAUGGGAAGAGCCGAUUGGGAAUGCUUUGUUAUAAGGGAUAACGGCUAAUAUUGAUUUCCAACUUGCCAGAUCUACAAUCACCAAGGAGACAGACUUCUGGGCAUGUCUCUGGGAGGGUUUCUACAAUGAGUUAAUUGAAAUAGGCAGUCACAAUCUAAAUGUGGAGCGCACCAUUCCAUAGACUGGGGCCCUGCACUGAAUAAAGGCAAAGUGUACAGAGA